CGGGGGAGGCCGGAUCCUGGGCUGUGUCCCGGAGCCCUGUGCUCGGGAGCCUGCGCUGUUGGAUCCGCGGAGCCACCGCCCGAGCCCCCCCG
Molecule: microRNA precursor, 92 nt
Filed under: Canis lupus familiaris (dog)
Lineage: Eukaryota; Metazoa; Chordata; Mammalia; Carnivora; Canidae
Description: mir-8799 microRNA precursor family
Rfam family: mir-8799 microRNA precursor family
Source: Rfam by way of RNAcentral